This 258-nucleotide ribosomal RNA is filed under the name uncultured bacterium. Its description in RNAcentral is "partial 16S ribosomal RNA". It matches the Rfam family "Bacterial small subunit ribosomal RNA", at positions 524 to 776 of the family's 1533-position model. The record is from RNAcentral.
UACGUAGGGUCCGAGCGUUUGUCCGGAAUUAUUGGGGCGUAAAGGGCUCGUAGGCGGUUUUGUCGCGUCGGGAGUGAAAACAGCGGGCUUAACUCGUUGCUUGCUUCCGAUACGGGCAGACUAGAGGUAUGCAGGGGGAGAAUGGAAUUCCUGGUGUAGCGGUGAAAUGCGCAGAUAUCAGGAGGAACGACCGGUGGCGAAGGCGGUUCUCUGGGCAUUACCUGACGCUGAGGAGCGAAAGUGUGGGGAGCGAACAGG